Molecule: ribosomal RNA, 332 nt
Filed under: uncultured bacterium
Lineage: Bacteria
Description: bacterial SSU rRNA
Rfam family: Bacterial small subunit ribosomal RNA
Source: RNAcentral
CGCGUAGGCGGUUGAUCAAGUCAGGUGUGAAAUCCCGGGGCUCAACCCCGGAAGUGCAUCUGAAACUGGUUGGCUUGAGUAUGGUAGAGGGAAGUGGAAUUCCUGGUGUAGCGGUGAAAUGCGUAGAUAUCAGGAGGAACACCGGUGGCGAAGGCGACUUCCUGGACCAAGACUGACGCUGAGGCGCGAAGGUGUGGGGAGCAAACAGGAUUAGAUACCCUGGUAGUCCACACAGUAAACGGUGAUCACUAGGUGUUGCGGGUGUUGACCCCUGCAGUGCCGCAGUUAACGCAUUAAGUGAUCCGCCUGGGGAGUACGGUCGCAAGAUUAAA